GACGAAUGCUGGCGGCGUGCUUAACACAUGCAAGUCGAACGGUGAAGGGACUGGUUUUGCUGGUCCUGGAUGAGUGGCGAACGGGUGAGUAACACGUGAGUAACCUGCCCCCUUCUUCUGGAUAACCGCAUGAAAGUGUGGCUAAUACGGGAUAUUCUGGGUCUGUCGCAUGGUGGGCCUGGGAAAGAUUGCGCCUUUUUUGGUGUUUUUGGUGGGGGAUGGGCUCGCGGCCUAUCAGCUUGUUGGUGGGGUGAUGGCCUACCAAGGCGGUGACGGGUAGCCGGCCUGAGAGGGUGGACGGUCACACUGGGACUGAGACACGGCCCAGACUCCUACGGGAGGCAGCAGUGGGGAAUAUUGCACAAUGGGCGCAAGCCUGAUGCAGCGACGCCGCGUGAGGGAUGGAGGCCUUCGGGUUGUGAACCUCUUUCGCCAGUGAAGCAGGCCUGCCUCUUUUUGUGGGUGGGUUGACGGUAGCUGGAUAAGAAGCGCCGGCUAACUACGUG
RNAcentral lists this ribosomal RNA (506 nucleotides) under uncultured bacterium. Its description in RNAcentral is "partial 16S ribosomal RNA". It matches the Rfam family "Bacterial small subunit ribosomal RNA", at positions 28 to 507 of the family's 1533-position model. The record is from RNAcentral.